Molecule: ribosomal RNA, 483 nt
Filed under: uncultured bacterium
Lineage: Bacteria
Description: partial 16S ribosomal RNA
Rfam family: Bacterial small subunit ribosomal RNA
Source: RNAcentral
AUUGAACGCUGGCGGCAGGCCUAACACAUGCAAGUCGAGCGGAUGAAGGGAGCUUGCUCCUGGAUUCAGCGGCGGACGGGUGAGUAAUGCCUAGGAAUCUGCCUGGUAGUGGGGGAUAACGUCCGGAAACGGGCGCUAAUACCGCAUACGUCCUGAGGGCGAAAGUGGGGGAUCUUCGGACCUCACGCUCUCAGAUGAGCCUAGGUCGGUUUAGCUAGUUGGCGGGGUAAAGGCCUACCAAGGCGACGAUCCGUAACUGGUCUGAGAGGAUGAUCAGUCACACUGGAACUGAGACCCGGUCCAGACUCCUAGGGGAGGCAGAGUGGGGGAAUUUUGGACAAUGGGCGAAAGCCUGAUCAAGCCAUGCGGCGUGUGUGAAGAAGGUCUUCGGAUUGUAAAGCCCUUUAAGUUGGGAGAAAGGGCAGUAGGUUAAUACCUGGCUGUUUUGACGUUACCAACAGAAUAAGCACCGGCUACCUUCGU